GCUUCUGUGGGAACUGUUAUUAUGUGGAAACUGGAUAAUGUUUGAUCUUAAACCGAAUAUUGUAAUUUUGUUUGACUGCUUUCUGCUUAACCUGAGAGCUGUUCUGGUUAGCAGAUGAAUUUGAAUCAUAAAUUAGGCAGCAGACUUACAGCUAAUCUUGAGCAUUAGAUUCCACCCAUAAGAUUGGAUGGUUUUCGUGAAGUGAUUUUAUUGCUUUGUGUCCUUCCCUGUUCUUUGUUUUAUAAUUAUUGUAGUUUCUNCAUGGAAAACCUAAAUAAAGGGAUUUGUUCUUGCCCAAGUGCAAGUAAAUUUGCUUUGGAGUCUACUUAAUCAUCACUGUUAGCUGUUAAAUUAUUUUUUUCCCCACAAAGUGGUAGGGCACUGAGAUCCGCCCUUGUGGACCAGGUUUAUGGUUGCUUGAGGAACUUAAAGCAAAAAUUCUGUAUUUUUCUGCUCAUUAGUGAUGAAAUUUGGAAAAAGAAAAUAGAAGAGGUACCCUUAUUUAUAUGGAAAACAUGUAUAGGGGGAGUUGUUCUUGCCUAAGUGUAAGUAAAAAUUUGCUUUGGAGUCUACUUAUUUAUCACUAUUAGCUGUUAGGAUAAUUUCCCCCCACAAAGUGGUAGGGCACUGAGAUCCGCCCUGGUGGAAUAGGUUUAUGGUUGCUUGAGGAAUGCCUAAGCUUCAAGAGGAGGCUUAAUUUUUAAUUGUUUGCCCAAUAGCAGAGAUCUGACAGUGUAUGUGCAGUGCAGUCGUGCAGAGGCAUCAUUUAGUUCAAAUUUAAAGAAAAACAAAUUUUUUAAUAUAAGCUCUAUGGCUUAAAUUUCUUUUCUCCUGCCCCUUUCUUUUAUGUUGUUAACCUUUGAUUGCAACUAAUUUUUUCUUCACCGAUGCUUUCAGGUUUCUGUUGAGGAUUCACCAAGGGAAGUAUUUGCCCACGUUUCAGCCUCCAGAUGCUGGGAAAUGGUAAGAGAUAGAGUUAAUCAGGAGAUCGCAAAGCAACACAAGUUGGGAAAACCAAAGCUUCCACCUCUGCAGCCCCCAGGAAGCCUUGACGGUGUGGAAAUGUUUGGUUUGACUUCGCCAGCUAUUGUGCAGGUAAAAGCUUCUGUGGGAACUGUUAUUAUGUGGAAACUGGAUAAUGUUUGAUCUUAAACCGAAUAUUGUAAUUUUGUUUGACUGCUUUCUGCUUAACCUGAGAGCUGUUCUGGUUAGCAGAUGAAUUUGAAUCAUAAAUUAGGCAGCAGACUUACAGCUAAUCUUGAGCAUUAGAUUCCACCCAUAAGAUUGGAUGGUUUUCGUGAAGUGAUUUUAUUGCUUUGUGUCCUUCCCUGUUCUUUGUUUUAUAAUUAUUGUAGUUUCUCUUUCAUUGUUCUUGCUGAAAGUCCUUUCUCUGGUUGGCAG
Molecule: long non-coding RNA, 1401 nt
Filed under: Daucus carota (carrot)
Lineage: Eukaryota; Viridiplantae; Streptophyta; Magnoliopsida; Apiales; Apiaceae
Description: long non-coding RNA (DCAR_LNC003878)
Source: RNAcentral